CUAGUACUCCCUCCGUCCGGAAUUACUUGUCAUGGAAAUGGAUGUAUCUAGAUGUAUUUUAGUUCUAGAGACAUCAUUUUUUGUGAGAAGUAAUUCAGGAUGGAGGGAGUACUCA
RNAcentral lists this microRNA precursor (115 nucleotides) under Hordeum vulgare. RNAcentral's name for it is "microRNA MIR1122". It matches the Rfam family "MIR1120/MIR1122 microRNA precursor family". The record is from RNAcentral. Lineage: Eukaryota; Viridiplantae; Streptophyta; Magnoliopsida; Poales; Poaceae.